CCUACGGGAGGCAGCAGUGGGGAAUAUUGGACAAUGGGCGGAACUCUGAUCCAGCGACGCCGCGUGAGUGAAGAAGUAUUUCGGUAUGUAAAGCUCUAUCAGCAGGGAAGAAAAUGACGGUACCUGACUAAGACGCCCCGGCUAACUACGUUCCAGCAGCCGCGGGACUACGUAAGGGGCAAGCGUUAUCCGGAUUUACUGGGUGUAAAGGGGGCGUAGACGGUGCAGCAAGUCUGAUGUGAAAGGUCGGGGCCCAAACCCGGGACUGCAUUGUAAACUGUUUAACUGGAGUACAGGAGGGGUAAGCGGAAUUCCUGGUGUAGCGGUGAAAUGCUUAGAUAUUAGGAGGAACACCAGUGGCGAAGGCGGCUUACUUGACUGUAACUGACGUUGAGGCUCGAAAGCGUGGGGAGCAAACAGGAUUAGAUACCCUAGUAGUC
Molecule: ribosomal RNA, 440 nt
Filed under: uncultured bacterium
Lineage: Bacteria
Description: partial 16S ribosomal RNA
Rfam family: Bacterial small subunit ribosomal RNA
Source: RNAcentral